GAUGAAGAACGUAGCGAAAUGCGAUAAUUAAUGUGAAUUGCAGAAUUCCGUGAAUCAUCGAGUCUUUGAACGCACAUUGCGCCUCAUGGCAUUCCGUGAGGCAUGCCCAUCUCAGCGUUAGAAAAUAUUCUCAAAUUUUAGUUUUGUGCUAAAAUUUGGAUCAUGUCAAGGAAGCUAUUACUAUUAUUGUGAUCGCUCUUUGGAAAUUGAUAGGUCUUUGAGUUGCUACUCAUAGAACGUGAUGAAUCUUUCUUCGUUCUAUUGUAAUUCACUCUGGUAGUCCUAAAACUUGUAUGCCUGUGGCAUAUCUUGUAAUUUGACCUGAGAUUGGGUAGGGAUACCCGCUGAACUUAAGCAUAUCAAUAAGCGGAGGGA
This 375-nucleotide unclassified non-coding RNA is filed under the name soil metagenome. RNAcentral describes it as "partial contains internal transcribed spacer 2 and large subunit ribosomal RNA". The stretch from base 1 to 120 matches the Rfam family "5.8S ribosomal RNA", at positions 35 to 154 of the family's 154-position model. The record is from RNAcentral.